Molecule: long non-coding RNA, 2997 nt
Filed under: Triticum aestivum (bread wheat)
Lineage: Eukaryota; Viridiplantae; Streptophyta; Magnoliopsida; Poales; Poaceae
Description: long non-coding RNA (TAES_LNC014671)
Source: RNAcentral
AAGUAAUGCAAUAUAUUCUCUCUCUGCCAGAACCAAACUGUACCAGCACCAACGAACGCCUUUGUGCUAGGAAUAAAUAGGAUGAAUAAAUCUCUACCAGCACCAACAUUGACAGCUUGUUUGUUCACACGUAGCAAUGUUUUGCAUUAAACUGAACCAUGCCAAUACAUAAAACUUCAACAUGAGACUUUGUAAAAAGUUAAUCUUUGCAAUACGACAAAGGUUCACAACAUCAAAUGAUCACAGUCUAGCCAAGGUUACAUAAAAACUGAAUCUUUGCAUUAUUAGCACCACCCAACAAAGAUUUUCAUUGCUCAAGGAUCUUCCUCUGUCCGUUCAGCAUCACACUUCACCCAAUAUUUCCUGCAAAAUAUGAUGAGAAAUGGUGACAUAUGGUCUCAUAGGGCACAAUGGUUGUACAAAUUGCUCAAAGUGAAUACAUAACUGAAUCUUUGCAUUAUUAGCACCACCCAACAAAGAUUUUCAUUGCUCAAGGAUCUUCCUCUGUCCGUUCAGCAUCACACUUCACCCAAUAUUUCCUGCAAAAUAUGAUGAGAAAUGGUGACAUAUGGUCUCAUAGGGCACAAUGGUUGUACAAAUUGCUCAAAGUGAAAGAUGUGACAGCCAAUAAGACAAAUCAAAGUGUGACACGAUAAGCUUUAGCUUGCAACAAUCUUUACAAAGGGUAAAAAAAAUACCUCAACUUGAUAUAGAAGUUGCUCAAAGGUUAACUUGCACUUCAUUUGCACAAUUAUCAUGAAUCGAAAGGUAGUGGCGACAAACCAGCAACAACCGAGUAGGUUAAGUAGGACCAAAACUAAGUCGAUAAGAGACUACAUAUUAAAACAGAGGAUAUAUAUAGGAAAAUGGGUUGGUACACCUAGGAGUACAUACUCCUAUGUCAUGUGUCAUUUCUUUUUUUAUUUUCCACUGUUGUUUAUUGUGCCAUCGCAACAAACCUCCUUAGCAUUUAGUUAGUUGAUUAGGUGCUAAUCAGAAGUGGUCCCGUGGAGUUUGAAAGUUUGUUCCAUACUAAUAGGGAUAAGGCACAUUCAGAUUCAAAUCUUGUUAGCACCGCAUUAACAUGCAUCGUUCUUCUUUCAUUAAAAUCAAUCCACCUACUGAUUAGGGCUUGGAGACAAGACGCAGCCGGCAGCCGCUUGUUGACUCGACGACGAGGCACAUUAGAUGUGGUUGGCGCAACUCAAACUUGAAGAUGAGAAGAUGAGAUGCUGCCGACAAUCUAACUCGUCAAGGUGCAUCAUUUAUUCAAUAUUAUUUCUGGUCUACGAACUUCAGAUUGAGCUGCAAAAGCAUGCAUCAACCACUCUUUCCGUGACUAAUUCAUUGCUUGCUCAGGUAGGCAUCUAGUUGGCUGUACCCCUUAUCUAAGCUCUAUGCAUGCAGGUAGAAUUUCCCAAGGUGUCAUCUGGAGGCCAUGGAUAGCAUGGCGUGGAGUGCCUGCGAUUUCGAUGCGUUGGACUCCUAACAUCAUGCUGCCCACCGUGCGUGUGCUUGCCGGCGACAAACAGAACAACAACAAGAAGAUGCUUUUGCAGUGAAGAACAAAUGAAUGUAGACUAGAUAUCCACUCCAGAAUGCAUAUGUAAUACGUGCAUGCUUAUCAUACAUUUCUCUAUGGAUGUAUCAAAUUUAGUGAAUAUACUUCAAUUUCAGCAGAGUAUAUACUUCAUUCAAGUGGAUAUACUUCAAAUCAAUUUCAGCAGAGAGUAUGCAUCAUUCGUAUGAACAACUGAAUAUACUGCUAUAUCAGCUGGGUAUAUCCUUUUUUUGGUCGAGAAGUAUAUACUCCAAUAAAAAAAAGUAUAUACUCUCCAAUUAAAAAAUUAAGUACAAACUCCUAAACCCUUGGCCACAGUACUCCAAUUAAAAUUUAAAUAUUUAGUAUAUACUCUUCUCGCUAGUACUAGAUACUCAUUGAUCGCAAUGCUAAUUGCACAAGAAAGCAACUAAAAAAUUGCACAAGAAAACCGUAUACUUUUGUUAUAAGCAGUAUAUACCGGUCUAAAAAUAUAUACAUCACAAAAUAGUAUAUAAUCCUACUUUUUUUGAAGUAUAUACUCCUAUGAAGAAACGACUGUAUAUACUUCUUUUUGUGGUAGGUUGUUCUUUGAUCGGAGAGUAGUAUAUAUGUCGCAUAUACUGCAAAAUAGUGCUUCCAGCACACAUUGAUAGGGAACAAGAAUUAGUUAUUCCUCAUGUAUGAAUGAUGCUCAAAGCAUUCAUUGUUAAUCUAGGACUCCCGACUGAUGUUCUUGAAUUACAACUCUACACAUGGCCUACAAGCAGUCACCCAGUCACUUAGCUAAUCCAAACAGAGCAAAAUUAUCCGAAGAACCUGUCUAGAUCUUAUGGAGCAAUAUAUUGCAGCAAUCAAAGGAAAUAACAACCUAGUCCAUAUGACAAUGUUGUGACAAUAUAUCCAAGCAAAUAUAUUGCAGCAACCAACUGAAGAACCACUCUGAUUGAAAGAGGCGAAGCAUACCCUGCUUGCUCCCAGACCAAGAGCCCCGGUGCCUCUUGCUCCUUAGUCCUCCGGGGGUGGAGUUGACCUACCGUGGGCUGCCCAGAUCGGGUGGCUGGAGUGAGGCGUCCUGCUGAACAGGUGGGUUCAGGUUAGGGUUAGGGUUCAAGAAGAAAAACGCAUCAGAGAGAGGGAGGGGGGAGAAGAGAGGUGGGGAAGGGAGCGAGAGGAGAAGCCUUACCGGUGGCGAGAGGGACAGGUAACCAAGACGUCGGAGUGUCCUUGCGACCUUGCCGGAGAGGGACAGUACGGGGCGGAGAUGGACCGGGACCGGGACGGGACGGGGCGGGGUGGAGGAUAGGGUGGGUGGCGGCGGGGUGGAGGAGAGGGAUCGAGAGAGACAGAGAGCUGCGUCGGGCCUCCAAAUCCAGACAAAUGAGGGCAUCUCCGGCCGUUGGCCCUCCAGGAAGGGCAAAAAAUCGCCCCUGGAGGCGCACCGGCGCUAAGCCCCG